Molecule: ribosomal RNA, 253 nt
Filed under: uncultured bacterium
Lineage: Bacteria
Description: partial 16S ribosomal RNA
Rfam family: Bacterial small subunit ribosomal RNA
Source: RNAcentral
UACGUAGGUGGCGAGCGUUGUCCGGAAUUACUGGGUGUAAAGCGCGCGUAGGCGGGAGGCCAAGUCCGCUGUGAAAUCGCCCGGCUCAACUGGGCGCGGUCGGUGGAAACUGGUCACCUGGAGGACGGUAGAGGCGAGUGGAAUUCCCGGUGUAGUGGUGAAAUGCGUAGAGAUCGGGAGGAACACCAGUGGCGAAGGCGGCUUUCUGGGCAUUUCCUGACGCUGAGGCGCGAAAGCGUGGGGAGCGAACCGG